RNAcentral lists this long non-coding RNA (380 nucleotides) under Salvia miltiorrhiza (redroot sage). RNAcentral's name for it is "long non-coding RNA (SMIL_LNC003661)". Lineage: Eukaryota; Viridiplantae; Streptophyta; Magnoliopsida; Lamiales; Lamiaceae. The record is from RNAcentral.
GAAAUUCAAGAAACGCAAAAUAACAUAGAUGAUGAAAACUUGUCUAAUGGUGUGGACAAGAAUUCAGUGGGAGUUUUUGAUGAUCUAUUGGGAAGGGGAAUAUCUCUUAGAGAGACGCCUCAAGACAAUGAGAUGCAUCAAAGACACGAUGAUACAAUAGUUGUGUCACCACCACCUCAAGAAAAUCUUGAGGAUGUCCUUGAAAAUUCCGAAACUGUUGAAACGUUCAACAGAGAGGAACCUGCUCACAUUCAGAAUAUACAACCCGAACAAACGCAAGAACAACUCCAUAGGCCUCGUAGGAAUCGUCGAGCACCUGAAAGACUUAAUCUAUUGGUUGAGAACCAAGAUGAUGGAGUUGAUUCAGAUGAUGAUGAACC